GGUGUGUUUAUGGUGGAAGUGGGUGUGUGUGGGGUGGGAAGGGGUGUGUUUAUGGUGGAAGUGGGUGUGUGUCUGAGUAGCUACUGUUCUACCUUGCAUGGAGUUUAUAGUGAUACUUGAGAAAGUGAUUCAUGUCAUAGGCUCAAAGCACUUGCUAAAUGUGUUCCAGUCGUCAUACCCUACCCGUAUGAACCGCUGUAAGGAGAUCCUGAGGAAGGCUGUCAGUCUGAAGGCGAGUCUGGGGAAGUUCAUAGGAGAUGCCAACACACUGACAAACUCCUGGAGCUCACUGCUGACACAAACACACUGCUAACAUAUCAUUUUGGGGUCCAUUUCUCUCUCUGUAUUCCAGGUGGAUGGUAACAGUAGUCUCAGUAUAGGGUCCAUUUCUCUCUCUGUAUUCCAGGAGGAUGGUAGCAGUAGUACUCUCAGUAUGGGGUCCAUUUCUCUCUCUGUAUUCCAGGUGGAUGGUAGCAGUAGUACUCUCAGUAUGGGGUCCAUUUCUCUCUCUGUAUUCCAGGUGGAUGGUAGCAGUAGUACUCUCAGUAUGGGGUCCAUUUCUCUCUCUGUAUUCCAGGUGGAUGGUAACAGUAGUACUCUCAGUAUGGGGGUCCAUUUCUCUCUCUCUGUAUUCCAGGUGGAUGGUAGCAGUAGUCUCAGUAUGGGGGUCCAUUUCUCUCUCUCUGUAUUCCAGGUGGAUGGUAGCAGUAGUACUCUCAGUAUGGGGUCCAUUUCUCUCUCUCUCUGUAUUCCAGGUGGAUGGUAGCAGUAGUACUCUCAGUAUGGGGUCCAUUUCUCUCUCUCUCUCUGUAUUCCAGGUGGAUGGUAGCAGUAGUACUCUCAGUAUGGGGUCCAUUUCUCUCUCUGUAUUCCAGGUGGAUGGUAGCAGUACUCUCAGUAUGGGGUCCAUUUCUCUCUCUGUAUUCCAGGUGGAUGGUAGCAGUACUCUCAGUAUGGGGGUCCAUUUCUCUCUCUCUGUAUUCCAGGUGGAUGGUAGCAGCAGUACUCUCAGUAUGGGGUCCAUUUCUCUCUCUCUCUGUAUUCCAGGUGGAUGGUAACAGUAGUACUCUCAGUAUGGGGUCCAUUUCUCUCUCUCUCUGUAUUCCAGGUGGAUGGUAGCAGUAGUCUCAGUAUGGGGGUCCAUUUCUCUCUCUCUCUGUAUUCCAGGUGGAUGGUAGCAGUAGUCUCAGUAUGGGGUCCAUUUCUCUCUCUCUCUGUAUUCCAGGUGGAUGGUAGCAGUAGUCUCAGUAUGGGGUCCAUUUCUCUCUCUGUAUUCCAGGUGGAUGGUAGCAGUACUCUCAGUAUGGGGGUCCAUUUCUCUCUCUCUGUAUUCCAGGUGGAUGGUAGCAGCAGUACUCUCAGUAUGGGGUCCAUUUCUCUCUCUCUCUGUAUUCCAGGUGGAUGGUAACAGUAGUACUCUCAGUAUGGGGUCCAUUUCUCUCUCUCUCUGUAUUCCAGGUGGAUGGUAACAGUAGUACUCUCAGUAUGGGGUCCAUUUCUCUCUCUCUCUGUAUUCCAGGUGGAUGGUAGCAGUAGUCUCAGUAUGGGGGUCCAUUUCUCUCUCUCUGUAUUCCAGGUGGAUGGUAGCAGUAGUACUCUCAGUAUGGGGUCCAUUUCUCUCUCUGUAUUCCAGGUGGAUGGUAGCAGUACUCUCAGUAUGGGGGUCCAUUUCUCUCUCUCUGUAUUCCAGGUGGAUGGUAGCAGUAGUACUCUCAGUAUGGGGUCCAUUUCUCUCUCUCUGUAUUCCAGGUGGAUGGUAGCAGUAGUACUCUCAGUAUGGGGUCCAUUUCUCUCUCUCUCUCUGUAUUCCAGGUGGAUGGUAGCAGCAGUACUCUCAGUAUGGGGUCCAUUUCUCUCUCUCUGUAUUCCAGGUGGAUGGUAGCAGUAGUACUCUCAGUAUGGGGUCCAUUUCUCUCUCUCUGUAUUCCAGGUGGAUGGUAGCAGUAGUACUCUCAGUAUAGGGUCCAUUUCUCUCUCUGUAUUCCAGGUGGAUGGUAGCAGUAGUACUCUCAGUAUAGGGUCCAUUUCUCUCUCUCUCUGUAUUCCAGGUGGAUGGUAGCAGUAGUACUCUCAGUAUGGGGUCCAUUUCUCUCUCUCUCUGUAUUCCAGGUGGAUGGUAGCAGCAGUACUCUCAGUAUAGGGUCCAUUUCUCUCUCUGUAUUCCAGGUGGAUGGUAACAGUAGUACUCUCAGUAUGGGGUCCAUUUCUCUCUCUCUGUAUUCCAGGUGGAUGGUAACAGUAGUACUCUCAGUAUGGGGUCCAUUUCUCUCUCUCUCUGUAUUCCAGGUGGAUGGUAGCAGCAGUACUCUCAGUAUGGGGUCCAUUUCUCUCUCUCUCUGUAUUCCAGGUGGAUGGUAGCAGUAGUACUCUCAGUAUGGGGUCCAUUUCUCUCUCUCUGUAUUCCAGGUGGAUGGUAGCAGUAGUACUCUCAGUAUGGGGUCCAUUUCUCUCUCUCUCUCUGUAUUCCAGGUGGAUGGUAGCAGUAGUACUCUCAGUAUGGGGUCCAUUUCUCUCUCUCUGUAUUCCAGGUGGAUGGUAACAGUAGUACUCUCAGUAUGGGGUCCAUUUCUCUCUCUCUCUGUAUUCCAGGUGGAUGGUAACAGUAGUACUCUCAGUAUGGGGUCCAUUUCUCUCUCUCUCUGUAUUCCAGGUGGAUGGUAGCAGUAGUACUCUCAGUAUGGGGUCCAUUUCUCUCUCUCUCUGUAUUCCAGGUGGAUGGUAGCAGUAGUACUCUCAGUAUGGGGUCCAUUUCUCUCUCUCUCUGUAUUCCAGGUGGAUGGUAGCAGUAGUACUCUCCGUAUGGGGUCCAUUUCUCUCUCUCUGUAUUCCAGGUGGAUGGUAGCAGCAGUACUCUCAGUAUGGGGUCCAUUUCUCUCUCUCUCUGUAUUCCAGGUGGAUGGUAGCAGUAGUACUCUCAGUAUAGGGUCCAUUUCUCUCUCUGUAUUCCAGGUGGAUGGUAGCAGUAGUACUCUCAGUAUGGGGUCCAUUUCUCUCUCUCUGUAUUCCAGGUGGAUGGUAACAGUAGUACUCUCAGUAUGGGGUCCAUUUCUCUCUCUCUCUGUAUUCCAGGUGGAUGGUAGCAGCAGUACUCUCAGUAUGGGGUCCAUUUCUCUCUCUCUCUGUAUUCCAGGUGGAUGGUAGCAGUAGUACUCUCAGUAUGGGGUCCAUUUCUCUCUCUCUGUAUUCCAGGUGGAUGGUAGCAGUAGUACUCUCAGUAUGGGGUCCAUUUCUCUCUCUCUCUCUGUAUUCCAGGUGGAUGGUAGCAGUAGUACUCUCAGUAUGGGGUCCAUUUCUCUCUCUCUGUAUUCCAGGUGGAUGGUAACAGUAGUACUCUCAGUAUGGGGUCCAUUUCUCUCUCUCUCUGUAUUCCAGGUGGAUGGUAACAGUAGUACUCUCAGUAUGGGGUCCAUUUCUCUCUCUCUCUGUAUUCCAGGUGGAUGGUAACAGUAGUACUCUCAGUAUGGGGUCCAUUUUUCUCUCUGUAUUCCAGGUGGAUGGUAGCAGUAGUACUCUCAGUAUCAGUAUGGGGGUCCAUUUCUCUCUCUCUGUAUUCCAGGUGGAUGGUAGCAGCAGUACUCUCAGUAUGGGGUCCAUUUUUCUCUCUGUAUUCCAGGUGGAUGGUAGCAGUAGUACUCUCAGUAUCAGUAUGGGGGUCCAUUUCUCUCUCUCUGUAUUCCAGGUGGAUGGUAGCAGCAGUACUCUCAGUAUGGGGUCCAUCUCUCUCUCUGUAUUCCAGGUGGAUGGUAACAGUAGUACUCUCAGUAUGGGGUCCAUUUCUCUCUCUCUGUAUUCCAGGUGGAUGGUAGCAGUAGUACUCUCAGUAUAGGGUCCAUUUCUCUCUCUCUGUAUUCCAGGUGGAUGGUAGCAGCAGUACUCUCAGUAUGGGGUCCAUUUCUCUCUCUCUGUAUUCCAGGUGGAUGGUAACAGUAGUACUCUCAGUAUGGGGUCCAUUUCUCUCUCUCUGUAUUCCAGGUGGAUGGUAGCAGUAGUACUCUCAGUAUGGGGUCCAUUUCUCUCUCUCUCUGUAUUCCAGGUGGAUGGUAGCAGUAGUCUCAGUAUGGGGGUCCAUUUCUCUCUCUCUGUAUUCCAGGUGGAUGGUAGCAGUAGUACUCUCAGUAUGGGGUCCAUUUCUCUCUCUCUCUCUGUAUUCCAGGUGGAUGGUAGCAGUAGUACUCUCAGUAUGGGGUCCAUUUCUCUCUCUGUAUUCCAGGUGGAUGGUAGCAGUAGUACUCUCAGUAUGGGGUCCAUUUCUCUCUCUCUCUCUGUAUUCCAGGUGGAUGGUAACAGUAGUACUCUCAGUAUGGGGUCCAUUUCUCUCUCUCUGUAUUCCAGGUGGAUGGUAGCAGUAGUACUCUCAGUAUGGGGUCCAUUUCUCUCUCUCUCUCUGUAUUCCAGGUGGAUGGUAGCAGUAGUACUCUCAGUAUGGGGUCCAUUUCUCUCUCUGUAUUCCAGGUGGAUGGUAGCAGUAGUACUCUCAGUAUGGGGUCCAUUUCUCUCUCUCUGUAUUCCAGGUGGAUGGUAGCAGCAGUACUCUCAGUAUGGGGUCCAUUUCUCUCUCUCUGUAUUCCAGGUGGAUGGUAACAGUAGUACUCUCAGUAUGGGGUCCAUUUCUCUCUCUCUCUGUAUUCCAGGUGGAUGGUAGCAGUAGUACUCUCAGUAUGGGGUCCAUUUCUCUCUCUCUCUCUGUAUUCCAGGUGGAUGGUAGCAGUAGUACUCUCAGUAUGGGGUCCAUUUCUCUCUCUCUGUAUUCCAGGUGGAUGGUAGCAGCAGUACUCUCAGUAUGGGGUCCAUUUCUCUCUCUGUAUUCCAGGUGGAUGGUAGCAGUAGUACUCUCAGUAUGGGGUCCAUUUCUCUCUCUCUGUAUUCCAGGUGGAUGGUAGCAGCAGUACUCUCAGUAUGGGGUCCAUUUCUCUCUCUGUAUUCCAGGUGGAUGGUAGCAGUAGUACUCUCAGUAUGGGGUCCAUUUCUCUCUCUCUGUAUUCCAGGUGGAUGGUAGCAGUAGUACUCUCAGUAUAGGGUCCAUUUCUCUCUCUCUGUAUUCCAGGUGGAUGGUAGCAGCAGUACUCUCAGUAUGGGGUCCAUUUCUCUCUCUGUAUUCCAGGUGGAUGGUAGCAGCAGUACUCUCAGUAUGGGGUCCAUUUCUCUCUCUCUGUAUUCCAGGUGGAUGGUAACAGUAGUACUCUCAGUAUGGGGUCCAUUUCUCUCUCUCUGUAUUCCAGGUGGAUGGUAGCAGCAGUACUCUCAGUAUGGGGUCCAUUUCUCUCUCUCUGUAUUCCAGGUGGAUGGUAACAGUAGUACUCUCAGUAUGGGGUCCAUUUCUCUCUCUCUGUAUUCCAGGUGGAUGGUAGCAGUAGUACUCUCAGUAUGGGGUCCAUUUCUCUCUCUCUCUGUAUUCCAGGUGGAUGGUAACAGUAGUACUCUCAGUAUGGGGGUCCAUUUCUCUCUCUGUAUUCCAGGUGGAUGGUAGCAGUAGUACUCUCAGUAUGGGGUCCAUUUCUCUCUCUCUCUCUGUAUUCCAGGUGGAUGGUAGCAGUAGUACUCUCAGUAUGGGGUCCAUUUCUCUCUCUGUAUUCCAGGUGGAUGGUAGCAGUACUCUCAGUAUGGGGGUCCAUUUCUCUCUCUCUGUAUUCCAGGUGGAUGGUAGCAGUAGUACUCUCAGUAUGGGGUCCAUUUCUCUCUCUCUGUAUUCCAGGUGGAUGGUAGCAGCAGUACUCUCAGUAUGGGGUCCAUUUCUCUCUCUCUGUAUUCCAGGUGGAUGGUAACAGUAGUACUCUCAGUAUGGGGUCCAUUUCUCUCUCUCUCUGUAUUCCAGGUGGAUGGUAGCAGCAGUACUCUCAGUAUGGGGUCCAUUUCUCUCUCUGUAUUCCAGGUGGAUGGUAGCAGCAGUACUCUCAGUAUGGGGUCCAUUUCUCUCUCUCUGUAUUCCAGGUGGAUGGUAGCAGCAGUACUCUCAGUAUGGGGUCCAUUUCUCUCUCUCUCUGUAUUCCAGGUGGAUGGUAGCAGCAGUACUCUCAGUAUGGGGUCCAUUUCUCUCUCUCUGUAUUCCAGGUGGAUGGUAACAGUAGUACUCUCAGUAUGGGGUCCAUUUCUCUCUCUCUCUGUAUUCCAGGUGGAUGGUAACAGUAGUACUCUCAGUAUGGGGUCCAUUUCUCUCUCUCUGUAUUCCAGGUGGAUGGUAACAGUAGUACUCUCAGUAUGGGGUCCAUUUCUCUCUCUCUGUAUUCCAGGUGGAUGGUAGCAGCAGUACUCUCAGUAUGGGGUCCAUUUCUCUCUCUCUCUGUAUUCCAGGUGGAUGGUAGCAGUAGUACUCUCAGUAUGGGGUCCAUUUCUCUCUCUCUGUAUUCCAGGUGGAUGGUAGCAGUAGUACUCUCAGUAUGGGGUCCAUUUCUCUCUCUCUGUAUUCCAGGUGGAUGGUAGCAGCAGUACUCUCAGUAUGGGGUCCAUUUCUCUCUCUCUGUAUUCCAGGUGGAUGGUAACAGUAGUACUCUCAGUAUGGGGUCCAUUUCUCUCUCUCUCUGUAUUCCAGGUGGAUGGUAGCAGUAGUACUCUCAGUAUGGGGUCCAUUUCUCUCUCUCUGUAUUCCAGGUGGAUGGUAGCAGUAGUACUCUCAGUAUAGGGUCCAUUUCUCUCUCUCUGUAUUCCAGGUGGAUGGUAGCAGUAGUGCUCUCAGUAUAGGGUCCAUUUCUCUCUCUGUAUUCCAGGUGGAUGGUAGCAGCAGUACUCUCAGUAUGGGGUCCAUUUUUCUCUCUGUAUUCCAGGUGGAUGGUAGCAGUAGUACUCUCAGUAUGGGGUCCAUUUCUCUCUCUGUAUUCCAGGUGGAUGGUAGCAGUAGUACUCUCAGUAUGGGGUCCAUUUCUCUCUCUCUGUAUUCCAGGUGGAUGGUAGCAGUAGUACUCUCAGUAUGGGGGUCCAUUUCUCUCUCUCUGUAUUCCAGGUGGAUGGUAGCAGUAGUCUCAGUAUGGGGUCCAUUUCUCUCUCUCUGUAUUCCAGGUGGAUGGUAGCAGUAGUACUCUCAGUAUGGGGUCCAUUUCUCUCUCUCUGUAUUCCAGGUGGAUGGUAGCAGUAGUACUCUCAGUAUGGGGUCCAUUUCUCUCUCUCUCUGUAUUCCAGGUGGAUGGUAACAGUAGUACUCUCAGUAUGGGGUCCAUUUCUCUCUCUCUGUAUUCCAGGUGGAUGGUAGCAGUAGUACUCUCAGUAUGGGGUCCAUUUCUCUCUCUCUCUGUAUUCCAGGUGGAUGGUAGCAGUAGUACUCUCAGUAUGGGGUCCAUUUCUCUCUCUCUCUGUAUUCCAGGUGGAUGGUAGCAGUAGUCUCAGUAUGGGGUCCAUUUCUCUCUCUCUCUGUAUUCCAGGUGGAUGGUAGCAGCAGUACUCUCAGUAUGGGGUCCAUUUCUCUCUCUGUAUUCCAGGUGGAUGGUAGCAGUAGUACUCUCAGUAUGGGGUCCAUUUCUCUCUCUGUAUUCCAGGUGGAUGGUAGCAGCAGUACUCUCAGUAUGGGGUCCAUUUCUCUCUCUCUCUGUAUUCCAGGUGGAUGGUAGCAGUAGUACUCUCAGUAUAGGGUCCAUUUCUCUCUCUGUAUUCCAGGUGGAUGGUAGCAGCAGUACUCUCAGUAUGGGGUCCAUUUCUCUCUCUGUAUUCCAGGUGAAUGGUAGCAGCAGUACUCUCAGUAUGGGGGUCCAUUUCAAGCAGUGGAAGCGUCUGGUGGAGGAGCCAUCGUUCAGCCAGGUCCUGAUCCCUCUGCAGUCUGUCCUCAUCCCCACACUGCACUCUACUGGCCCUGCAAACACACUGCACCACAACCGAUUCCCCGGACACUGGGCCUACCUCCACGGCUUUGACGAUACUGUGAGUGUGUGUGGGGGGGGGGGGGGGUUGUCUUUCUGUGUGUCUGUGUCGUGCCACGUGUGUGUGUGUGUGUGUGUGUGUGUGUGUGUGUCUCACGAUGAGUAGGUGGAGAUCCUAGCCUCCCUCCAGAAGCCCAAGAAUAUCGGCCUGAAGGGAAGUGAUGUGUAAACCUAAAGAUGACCUCCGGUCGUCUCAUGGAGUCCAACUGUCUCAUCAACAAGGUGUUUCACCUGUCUCUUCUCCAACUGCCAUCUGUACAUCACUCUGCUGUAGCCCAGAGGUAACACAACACUUCAGACUAUUGUGUGUGUGUGUGUGUGUGUGUGUGGUGCCUGCGUAAGGAUGCAGAGUACAGGAGGAGGGAGCUCCAUAUCCGUACAUAUGCUGUGAUCCCACUGAAUGAGGAGUGUGGCAUCAUCGAGUGGGUCAACAACACUGGAGGUCUCCUACACAUUCUGACCAAACUCUACAAGGAGAGAGGUAACACACUGACCACGCUAUACUAGGAGAGAGAUACACACACUGACCACACUCUACUAGGAGAGAGGUACACACACUGACCACACUAUACUAGGAGAGAGAUACACACACUGACCACGCUAUACUAGGAGAGAGGUAACACACUGUCCACACUCUACUAGGAGAGAGAUACACACACUGACCACACUCUACUAGGAGAGAGGUACACACUGACCACGCUAUACUAGGAGAGAGGUAACACACUGACCACACUCUACUAGGAGAGAGGUAACACACUGACCACACUCUACUAGGAGAGAGAUACACACACUGACCACACUCUACUAGGAGAGAGGUACACACACUGACCACACUCUACUAGGAGAGAGGUACACACACUGACAACACUCUACUAGGAGAGAGGUACACACACUGACCACACUCUACUAGGAGAGAGGUACACACACUGACCACACUAUACUAGGAGAGAGGUACACACACUGACCACACUCUACUAGGAGAGAGGUACACACACUGACAACACUCUACUAGGAGAGAGGUAACACACUGACCACACUCUACUAGGAGAGAGGUACACACACUGUCCACACUCUACUAGGAGAGAGAUACACACACUGACCACACUCUACUAGGAGAGAGGUAACACACUGACCACACUCUACUAGGAGAGAGAUACACACACUGACCACACUCUACUAGGAGAGAGGUACACACACUGACCACACUCUACUAGGAGAGAGGUACACACACUGACCACACUAUACUAGGAGAGAGGUACACACACUGACCACACUAUACUAGGAGAGAGGUACACACACUGACCACACUCUACUAGGAGAGAGGUACACACUGACCACACUCUACUAGGAGAGAGAUACACACACUGACCACACUCUACUAGGAGAGAGGUACACACACUGACCACACUCUACUAGGAGAGAGGUAACACACUGACCACACUAUACUAGGAGAGAGAUACACACACUGACCACACUCUACUAGGAGAGAGGUACACACACUGACCACACUAUACUAGGAGAGAGGUACACACUGUCCACACUCUACUAGGAGAGAGGUAACACACUGACCACACUAUACUAGGAGAGAGGUACACACACUGUCCACUAUACUAGGAGAGAGGUACACACACUGACCACACUAUACUAGGAGAGAGGUAACACACUGACCACACUCUACUAGGAGAGAGGUACACACACUGACCACACUCUACUAGGAGAGAGGUAACACACUGUCCACACUCUACUAGGAGAGAGGUAACACACUGACCACACUCUACUAGGAGAGAGGUACACACACUGACCACACUCUACUAGGAGAGAGGUAACACACUGACCACACUCUACUAGGAGAGAGGUAACACACUGACCACACUCUACUAGGAGAGAGGUACACACACUGACCACACUCUACUAGGAGAGAGGUAACACACUGACCACACUCUACUAGGAGAGAGGUACACACACUGACCACACUCUACUAGGAGAGAGGUACACACACUGUCCACACUCUACUAGGAGAGAGGUAACACACUGACCACACUCUACUAGGAGAGAGGUAACACACUGACCACACUCUACUAGGAGAGAGGUACACACACUGUCCACACUCUACUAGGAGAGAGAUACACACUGUCCACACUCUACUAGGAGAGAGGUACACACACUGACCACACUCUACUAGGAGAGAGGUAACACACUGACCACACUCUACUAGGAGAGAGGUAACACACUGACCACACUACUAGGAGAGAGGUACACACACUGACCACACUAUACUAGGAGAGAGGUAACACACUGACCACACUCUACUAGGAGAGAGGUACACACACUGACCACACUCUACUAGGAGAGAGGUACACACACUGACCACACUAUACUAGGAGAGAGGUAACACACUGACCACACUACUAGGAGAGAG
Salvelinus fontinalis (brook trout) is the source of this 10260-nucleotide long non-coding RNA. RefSeq lists it as uncharacterized. Lineage: Eukaryota; Metazoa; Chordata; Actinopteri; Salmoniformes; Salmonidae. The record is from RefSeq and is a predicted model, not a curated record. The transcript has 12 exons.